This 277-nucleotide long non-coding RNA is filed under the name Amborella trichopoda. RNAcentral's name for it is "long non-coding RNA (ATRI_LNC000290)". Lineage: Eukaryota; Viridiplantae; Streptophyta; Magnoliopsida; Amborellales; Amborellaceae. The record is from RNAcentral.
UGCUGUGUCUGUGACAAAUAUUGUGUCUAAGUCUAUCGGCCCAUAGUCUUCAAGCUUCCUUCUUAUUUGUCGCUCUCUGAGGUUUAAAUUAUAAUAAACGUAGACUAGUUUAUGAAGCUUCUCAGAAGCGAGUCGAUUCCUCCUAGUAGUGUGCAACCAUUGGAACGUACUCCAAUUACGCUCACAGCCAGUAGCAGAACAUGUCUGGGAGAGCACCUUGAUUGCUAUCCUCUUUAGGUGAGGUGCAUCAGUACCAUAUAUCUCCCACCAUUCAGCU